Molecule: ribosomal RNA, 301 nt
Filed under: uncultured bacterium
Lineage: Bacteria
Description: partial 16S ribosomal RNA
Rfam family: Bacterial small subunit ribosomal RNA
Source: RNAcentral
CAGCCGCCACGGUAAUACGUAGGGUGCAAGCGUUAAUCGGAAUUACUGGGCGUAAAGCGUGCGCAGGCGGUUAUAUAAGACAGAUGUGAAAUCCCCGGGCUCAACCUGGGAACUGCAUUUGUGACUGUAUAGCUAGAGUACGGCAGAGGGGGAUGAAAUUCCGCGUGUAGCAGUGAAAUGCGUAGAUAUGCGGAGGAACACCGAUGGCGAAGGCAAUCCCCUGGGCCUGUACUGACGCUCAUGCACGAAAGCGUGGGGAGCAAACAGGAUUAGAUACCCCAGUAGUCCCUGUCUCUUAUAC